UACGGAGGAUGCGAGCGUUAUCCGGAUUUAUUGGGUUUAAAGGGUGCGCAGGCGGCACGGCAAGCCGGCGGUCAAAUCGCGGGCUCAACCCCGCCCAGCCGUCGGAACUGCCGGGCUAGAGUGGGCGAGAAGUGCGCGGAAUGCGUGGUGUAGCGGUGAAAUGCAUAGAUAUCACGCAGAACUCCGAUUGCGAAGGCAGCGCACCGGCGCCCUACUGACGCUCAGGCACGAAAGCGUGGGUAUCGAACAGG
RNAcentral lists this ribosomal RNA (251 nucleotides) under uncultured bacterium. Its description in RNAcentral is "partial 16S ribosomal RNA". It matches the Rfam family "Bacterial small subunit ribosomal RNA", at positions 524 to 776 of the family's 1533-position model. The record is from RNAcentral.